RNAcentral lists this transfer RNA (79 nucleotides) under Fibrella aestuarina BUZ 2. Its description in RNAcentral is "tRNA-His (GTG) (tRNA-His-GTG-1-1)". It matches the Rfam family "tRNA". Rfam says of the family: Transfer RNA (tRNA) molecules are approximately 80 nucleotides in length. Their secondary structure includes four short double-helical elements and three loops (D, anti-codon, and T loops). RNAcentral also lists the same sequence under 1 other name. Lineage: Bacteria; Pseudomonadati; Bacteroidota; Cytophagia; Cytophagales; Spirosomataceae. The record is from RNAcentral.
GGUGGUUGUAGCUCAGUUGGUUAGAGCGUCGGAUUGUGGUUCCGAAGGUCGCGGGUUCGAGCCCCGUCUCCCACCCCCA